GUUUGUGCAAAGUAUUUAUUUACUGUUUUCCUGAAACUUAUUUGAAAACAAAACCUUGCUAUGCCUCUUCUCACAAGCCUCUCAUCCUAGAUUGUUCCUGUAUUCAUGGCUAAAAGCUCUAUGAACAUUUACUGUAAAAAUUCAUUCUUCUGCAAUUGCCAAGGAGGAAUUUCAAUUGCACAUGAUACCCAAAGCCAGUUCAUCUCAAGAAAGGCCUAGCUUCAUCAAUGUCCAGCCUCCAGAGGGCCUUCCCAGGAGGGUAUAGGUUAAUACAAGCAAGUGGUGGUCUGCAUAGCUGAGCAGAAUCUGCUAUGUUUCUGAUAAAUUGUGAAGAGUCACAGACCUUUGUCUAAUGAAGGGCCUCAAGCUCCUACUGGUAAGAAUUUGACCUUUUAUUCAAAUUAAAAUGGGAAACCUCUGCAAGGUUUGAA
RNAcentral lists this long non-coding RNA (431 nucleotides) under Rhinopithecus bieti (black snub-nosed monkey). RNAcentral describes it as "lncRNA (ENSRBIG00000046244.1)". Lineage: Eukaryota; Metazoa; Chordata; Mammalia; Primates; Cercopithecidae. The record is from RNAcentral.